RNAcentral lists this ribosomal RNA (429 nucleotides) under Chloroflexota bacterium. RNAcentral's name for it is "Chloroflexi bacterium partial 16S ribosomal RNA". It matches the Rfam family "Bacterial small subunit ribosomal RNA", at positions 355 to 776 of the family's 1533-position model. Lineage: Bacteria; Bacillati; Chloroflexota. The record is from RNAcentral.
UGGGGAAUAUUGCACAAUGGGCGCAAGCCUGAUGCAGCCAUGCCGCGUGUAUGAAGAAGGCCUUCGGGUUGUAAAGUACUUUCAGCGGGGAGGAAGGGAGUAAAGUUAAUACCUUUGCUCAUUGACGUUACCCGCAGAAGAAGCACCGGCUAACUCCGUGCCAGCAGCCGCGGUAAUAUGGAGGGUGCAAGCGUUAAUCGGAAUUACUGGGCGUAAAGCGCACGCAGGCGGUUUGUUAAGUCAGAUGUGAAAUCCUCGGGCUCAACCUGGGAACUGCAUCUGAUACUGGCAAGCUUGAGUCUCGUAGAGGGGGGUAGAAUUCCAGGUGUAGCGGUGAAAUGCGUAGAGAUCUGGAGGAAUACCGGUGGCGAAGGCGGCCCCCUGGACGAAGACUGACGCUCAGGUGCGAAAGCGUGGGGAGCAAACAGG